GGACAGAUGAGUGAGCGGUUUAAACUAGCGGUUUACUAAACCGCCGUACUUGAAAGAGUACCGUGGGUCCGAAUCCCACUCUGUCCGCCA
RNAcentral lists this transfer RNA (90 nucleotides) under Candidatus Zambryskibacteria bacterium RIFCSPHIGHO2_02_39_10. Its description in RNAcentral is "tRNA-Ser". It matches the Rfam family "tRNA". From Rfam's summary of the family: Transfer RNA (tRNA) molecules are approximately 80 nucleotides in length. Their secondary structure includes four short double-helical elements and three loops (D, anti-codon, and T loops). Lineage: Bacteria; Candidatus Zambryskiibacteriota. The record is from RNAcentral. RNAcentral also lists the same sequence under 1 other name.